UACGGGGGGGGCAAGCGUUGUUCGGAAUUACUGGGCGUAAAGGGCGCGUAGGCGGUUCGCUAAGUUGGAUGUGAAAACUCUGGGCUUAACCCAGAGCCUGCAUCCAAAACUGGCGGACUAGAGUUUUGGAUGGGGAAGCGGAAUUCCUGGUGUAGCAGUGAAAUGCGUAGAUAUCAGGAGGAACACCGGUGGCGAAGGCGGCUUCCUGGACAAAAACUGACGCUGAGGCGCGAAAGCUAGGGGAGCAAACAGG
Molecule: ribosomal RNA, 253 nt
Filed under: uncultured bacterium
Lineage: Bacteria
Description: partial 16S ribosomal RNA
Rfam family: Bacterial small subunit ribosomal RNA
Source: RNAcentral